Cordylochernes scorpioides is the source of this 116-nucleotide non-coding RNA. The record is from the annotation of a GenBank genome assembly. NCBI's taxonomy places the organism in Eukaryota, Metazoa, Arthropoda, Arachnida, Pseudoscorpiones, Chernetidae.
AUAGCCAUACCACAUUGAAAACACCGGUUCUCAUCCGAUCACUGAAGUUAAGCAAUGUCGGGCCAGGUCAGUACUUGGGAGAGUGACUUCCUACGAACAACUGGGUGCUGUAGGCU